UGGAAGUUGACAGCGACUACUCAAGA
Molecule: non-coding RNA, 26 nt
Filed under: Homo sapiens (human)
Lineage: Eukaryota; Metazoa; Chordata; Mammalia; Primates; Hominidae
Source: RNAcentral